Molecule: long non-coding RNA, 630 nt
Filed under: Dasypus novemcinctus (nine-banded armadillo)
Lineage: Eukaryota; Metazoa; Chordata; Mammalia; Cingulata; Dasypodidae
Description: lncRNA (ENSDNOG00000051099.1)
Source: RNAcentral
CACUGCCGCGCCCUUCAGGAGCUCAGGCUUCAGGCCGAGGAAGAAGCCCUGGCACCACCGAGCCAGGCCCAGGAGCUGGGGACCGGCUGCAGGGACACCGUCGAGUUGCUCCCAGUCUGGCAACGACCAUGCAGUGGGCCCCACACUAUGGCAGGGGGAAGCAAGAGGACAGAGGAAUUGGCAGCCUGGGGGGUCAUCAGGGAAGACUUCCUGGAGGAGGAGACCCCCGAAGGAACAAGCAAUGGGGGAUCUGCCUUUUUUAAUGAGGCCUGGGGUGAGUAAUUUUCUCCCGCCUGUGAAAAUAACAAUGAAGGCAAAAACAGUCACAACAGCAACCACCUAACAAGCACUUCAGCUGCGCCAGACCCCCGCGCCCUCCAUCCGCAUCAUCUGAUCUCAUCCGCACAGCAAUCUCAGGGCAAGUACAAUGGAGCCACCAUUUGCAGAGGAGGAAACUGAGGCUGACAGGGCCUCGGCGGCACCGUCCAUGUCCCCAACGUGCAGCCUGCGGCCACCGGUGCGGACUUUGCAGGGCCGUGGGGGUGGGGCAGUGCCCGGUGACCUAAUGUGGAGCAAAUGACCCUACAACUAAGUGCCUUGAAAACCAGAGCCAUCUCUUAUUUUGCCCGU